CCUACGGGUGACAGCAGUGGGGAAUAUUGCACAAUGGGGGCAACCCUGAUGCAGCGACGCCGCGUGAGCGAUGAAGUAUUUCGGUAUGUAAAGCUCUAUCAGCGGGGAAGAAAAUUACGGUACCUGACUACAAAGCCCCGGCUAACUCCGUGCCAGCAGCCGCGGUCAUACGUAGGGGGCAAGCGUUAUCCGGAUUUACUGGGUGUAACGGGAGCGUAGACGGCGAUGCAAGCCAGAUGUGAAAGCCCGGGGCUCAACCCCGGGACUGCAUUUGGAACUGUAUAGCUGGAGUGUAGGAGAGGCAGGCGGAAUUCCGAGUGUAGCGGUGAAAUGCGUAGAUAUUAGGAGGAACACCAGUGGCGAAGGCGGCCUGCUGGAAGAUGACUGACGUUGAGGCUCGAAAGCGUGGGGAGCAAACAGGAUUAGAUACCCCUGUAGUC
This 440-nucleotide ribosomal RNA is filed under the name uncultured bacterium. Its description in RNAcentral is "partial 16S ribosomal RNA". It matches the Rfam family "Bacterial small subunit ribosomal RNA", at positions 338 to 795 of the family's 1533-position model. The record is from RNAcentral.